This 253-nucleotide ribosomal RNA is filed under the name uncultured bacterium. RNAcentral describes it as "partial 16S ribosomal RNA". It matches the Rfam family "Bacterial small subunit ribosomal RNA", at positions 524 to 776 of the family's 1533-position model. The record is from RNAcentral.
UACAGAGGUCCCAAGCGUUGUUCGGAUUCACUGGGCGUAAAGGGUGCGUAGUCGGUCGGGUAAGUCUGAUGUGAAAUCUCACAGCUUAACUGUGAAACUGCAUUGGAUACUAUUCGGCUUGAGAGUUGGAGGGGGGACUGGAAUUCUUGGUGUAGCAGUGAAAUGCGUAGAUAUCAAGAGGAACACCAGUGGCGAAGGCGAGUCCCUGGACAACUUCUGACGCUGAGGCACGAAAGCUAGGGGAGCAAACAGG